AAUCAACGCUGGCGGCGUGCCUAACACAUGCAAGUCGCACGAGAAAGGGACUUCGGUCCUGAGUACAGUGGCGCACGGGUGAGUAACACGUGAAUGAUCUACCUUCGAGUGGGGAAUAACUGAGAGAAAUCUUAGCUAAUACCGCAUAAUACCUACGGGUCAAAGCAGCAAUGCGCUUGAAGAGGAGUUCGCGGCAGAUUAGUUAGUUGGCAGGGAAUGGCCUACCAAGACGAUGAUCUGUAUCCGGCCUGAGAGGGCGCACGGACACACUGGAACUGAAACACGGUCCAGACUCCUACGGGAGGCAGCAGUGGGGAAUUUUGCGCAA
Molecule: ribosomal RNA, 328 nt
Filed under: uncultured bacterium
Lineage: Bacteria
Description: bacterial SSU rRNA
Rfam family: Bacterial small subunit ribosomal RNA
Source: RNAcentral